This 308-nucleotide ribosomal RNA is filed under the name uncultured bacterium. RNAcentral describes it as "partial 16S ribosomal RNA". It matches the Rfam family "Bacterial small subunit ribosomal RNA", at positions 505 to 808 of the family's 1533-position model. The record is from RNAcentral.
GAGACAGCAGUCGCCGCGGGAAUACGUAGGUGGCGAGCGUUGUCCGGAUUUAUUGGGCGUAAAGGGAGUGUAGGCGGUCUUUUAAGUCUGAUGUGAAAGCCCCCGGCUUAACCGGGGAGGGUCAUUGGAAACUGGGAGACUUAGAGUGCAGAAGAGGAGAGCGGAAUUCCACGUGUAGCGGUGAAAUGCGUAGAGAUGUGGAGGAACACCAGUGGCGAAGGCGACUCUCUGGUCUGUAACUGACGCUGAGGAGCGAAAGCGUGGGGAGCGAACAGGAUUAGAGACCCCAGUAGUCCCUGUCUCUUAUA